Zea mays is the source of this 3126-nucleotide long non-coding RNA. RefSeq lists it as uncharacterized. The transcript has 4 exons. The record is from RefSeq and is a predicted model, not a curated record. Lineage: Eukaryota; Viridiplantae; Streptophyta; Magnoliopsida; Poales; Poaceae.
GUAGAGAAGCAUGUGCGCACUACCGGUGGUGGAAGCCUGGUACUGUUAGGUAACUACUGCACUACUGCUCAGAAAAUAGAUUGCAUUCCUUCUAGAAUGUCAAGGAUGUAUUAGUGACCAAUUUAAACUUUGAUGGUAAAUUUUUAUGUUUCCGCAUGAAUUUGUGUAUCAGAGAAGACACAAAAUAUCUUUUGAAUCCCGAUGUCAACUCUACAUACUAUGAUCCAAAAACCCGCUGCAUGAGGGGAGACCCCUUGCCAGAUGUAGAUCCAAAAUGAUAAGUUCUACGUGGUAAUCAGCCAAAUAUAGUAUGUGGUCUGGAGUUCAUAUUUUUGCUACUUUUCUGGCGCGACGAUGUGGUGGAGGCGAUGGCAGGGCCUAGAACGGAUUAGUCGUCCUGCUCUGUGUUGGAAGUUAUGUGAAUUUUCUGCCUCCUAGCGCUAGACGGAUGAUUUUCUUCAGUUUGCCAACUCCUUGCCAUUGCUUUCUACUAUUGUUUGUUUAUUUUAGUGCAGCAACGGAGCCUAUGAAGAAGCCCUAUUUUCUAUUGUUGUUUGCCAACUCUAAGCAGAUCGCUCGCUGAAGAAGCCCACCCUCCUCGCUAUAGAAGGUAUGUGUUUAACAGAUAUGAAAUGUUGUUCUGAAAGAGCAUGGAACAACAAAGAAAAAUAAAAAUAAAAAAAGAAAGCACAAAGUCUGAACUUAUGAACUUCUGAAACCUACAGAUUAUUCUAAAAUUUCUAUUAAGUCUAAAAUUGUGAAAUUGUGAAAUUCGUGUUUAGUCUAAACUUCUAUAAUUCUGAAAGUCUACAGUCACCUGAACAUUGGCUGAAAGUCUGCAGCCACCUGAAAGUCUGCAAAUAAAGAAGCACAACUUCAUCUUUAGCCGACCACGACGAUGGCGACGAUGUCGUUCUCCAUCCCAGAUGCGCGGGAGAUCCCUGCGGCAGUGGGUCAGAGGGGAGGGCUGAGCUCUGCGCAGUGAUGGGAGGGAGUGGUCGAGGUGCUCGAAGCUCUCACUGACAACAGUGGGGGAGAGGAGGAUACAAGUUUACUGUGGCUAGGGGAGGAGAGCGGGAGAGGAGAGCCUAUAUAAUAGAAUUGGUAGCGACGCAUGGGCACCUAACUUUUUUAUAUAAUAGUGUUGAUUGACCUCUGGUUUGGCUGCUACACUUUGCAUUCAGGCUAACAAGGCAGAGAAUAAGAUUUCAUGGUACAUGUCUUGGAAAGAGGCAUAUCCUGCUGCCUUAUUCAGACAAUACAUAAACUACAGAUGCCAUGCAGAAGCCACCAACUUGCUGGUGGAGUAUCUAGAGUCGUUCGCAUUGACUACUUGAUCAUGUUUGUUUUUGCGCUUAUCCUUAUAAUAGGUGAGGACAUUAUUUAGAGUACUUGUCUUUUUCUGUAAAGUAGUGGCCAUUGGUCAACAAAAUAUUACCUUUGCCAAAGAAUUAGGAGAUGCAACUGCAUGUUGGUCACUUCUCUUUUUUUCCUUGAAAACCUGAAAGUUCAAUUUACUUAGAAACUAGAUGAAACACAAGUUGUUAUUUAUCCUCAAGUAGAUUAAUUACCACUAAGAUAACUAAACACCAUAUAGGUAUUCACCAAACAGUCACUGUAAGUCGAUAACUCUGAAGUCCAAAAUAAGGCAUGUUGUAGCAAGCAAUCAUUCAACUUUUUUACUGAUAUUAGUUCAGUUCUCACUAGCUGAUGGGCAGAGGUUUGAUCUAUGGUGUAAAUAGCUAUUUUUUCUUGUUUAUUGUGUAGUCGUGAUCUUGUUUUAUGCAAUCAUAUGUACUUACCAUUUUGCAUCUUUUGAGGUGCAGAUCAGUGGAGUGCACUCAAAACUGAGAAUUUUUUCCCCAAGAAGAUUCUUUAUUUGUUUUAACAAACUAGAUUCAUCCAUGUUGUUUUAAGAUUCAUCCAUGUUGUUUGCAUACUGAAUAUUACUUCUAAAGAAACAUGUUACAUCCAUAAUUUUUGUUUUGGGCUAUUACACAAGAGACCGUUUUCACUGCACUGUUCUAUCCAGAUUUUUAUCGACUACAAUUUUGUACUAACCAACUCUACCUACAGAAACAAGACCUGCCUACAGUGAUGAACUUGCUUAAUAUAAAACACACGAGCCCUCCUCAUCCACCACCGAUGGAGGAUGGAUGGCAUAUAUGAUUCUCUAGGCACCUGUUAUGUACUAAUUGAAUUUUAAUUUCAGUAUACACUGUGUAAUGGUCAAAGGAGAAAACUUGAUGAAUGGAGAAUGUACAAAGAUCAAAGUAUGGCUAAAUGACCUUGCUGGAAGUGAAUGGGCAACAAAGACAUAUGCACAGGGAGAAAGGUUGAAACAAGCACAGAACGUAAACAGUUCACUUUCUACACUUGGUGAUGUCAUAUGCACUCUUUAGGUGGAGAUUCCAAAACUUUGAUGUUAGCAGAGUACGGAGCAUAGAGCUUGGACAGGCUAAAAAACAAGUCGAUGUUGGAGAAUUGUCAAGAUACAAGCUCAUGGUUGGGAGAGCCAAGUAGGAUAGCAAGAAUAAAAAUGCUCAUAAUAAGAGUAUGGAAGAAAGGAUACAAGCACUUGAAGUGAAGAAUAUGGCCAAAGACAUGCUCACUCUGAAUCUCCAAGAGAAAGCAAACCCAACCCAAUAUCUUGUCAUGGAACCAAACCCAAUAGAUACGCAAUCAGGAUUUAACAUUAGGCUAUCCAUCAUUAUAUAUGCAAUCAGGACCUACCAACAACUAACUAUGUGUGGUACACAUAAUAGAAGGUGUUGUUGUCUUAGAAUCGGUACACAUAAUUUUUUUGUCCUACAUGCAGCCUGGUGAUCGGGAGUUGACUGGAUGAAUGAACCACAGCUGUGUUUACAUUAAUGGUGGCCGUCAUGUUUGGUGCUUCUCCAGUUGCAGAGAAAUGUUUGGUCCUCCGGUUACAGUGAAGUGGUUCAGUAUGUAAUAUGACUGAUUUUCAUUGACUACUAGGGAGCAAGGCUUCCGUCCCCUAAUUUCAUGAUCAGUUUCCUAAGAACCGGUACUAAACUUAAGGAAAGAAAGCCCGGUCAACUGUUUUUGGUACCGGUUUUAACUGCUCAGAGCUUCAAUAUUGUAAUCGGUACUAAUGUCAAGGCU